UAUGCUUUCUUUUGUGCUUUUUUGAGUUUCCUGAGUUUAUUUUCUGCAGUAAUACACGUCGAAAUUGGUACAACGUCGAAUUUAACAUUCAUCAUCGUCUUUGUAGUCGUCGGAGUAUUAUUCCUGUUUUGGUUCUGCAUUUAUGCAUCUUAUCAAGUUCUUUAUCAACACAGGCAAGUAAUGAUAGAAGAAAAUAUAACAAGUAUAUGAGAAGCCGGUAUAGGAUGUUUGGCAAACAAUAAUGGGACGAAGUAAAUGCUCUCAGGAUGUGCCAGUAAAUCACAAUGAAAUAACAUCUGAACCCAGUACCUGCUUAGUGGAACAAGAAAAUCUAAACCAUUACGACUUACAACAAAAUUUCACUUUCUUUUCUCUCUAAUUUUUGCAAACCCUAUAUACUUACCUUUCAUUUGUAUGUUCAAAACAACUGAUAAAUGCCUGAUUAAACACAUGUACCUAUGUUUUUAUUAUGUAUCCAAAGACGCCUUGAUUUUUUACUGAAAGGUGUAAAAUAAGAAAAAUAAAUGU
Molecule: long non-coding RNA, 528 nt
Organism: Zophobas morio
Lineage: Eukaryota; Metazoa; Arthropoda; Insecta; Coleoptera; Tenebrionidae
Exons: 3
Source: RefSeq, a predicted model, not a curated record